CCUACGGGUGGUUGCAGUGAGGAAUAUUGGGCAAUGGAGGCAACUCUGACCCAGCCAUGCCGCGUGAGUGAAGAAGGUUUUCGGAUUGUAAAGCUCUUUCGGCUGUGACGAUGAUGACGGUAGCAUCUAAAGAAUCCCCGGCUAACUUCGUGCCAGCAGCCGCGGUAAUACGAAGGGGGCAAGCGUUGUUCGGAAUUACUGGGCGUAAAGGGAGUGUAGGCGGAGCGUUAAGUCAGUGGUCAAAUUGAGGGGCUCAACCCCUUCCCGCCAUUGAAACUGGCGCUCUUGAGUGGAAGAGAAGUAUGCGGAAUGCGUGGUGUAGCGGUGAAAUGCAUAGAUAUCACGCAGAACCCCGAUUGCGAAGGCAGCAUGCCGGAUUCCGACUGACGCUGAAGCACGAAAGCGUGGGGAUCGAACAGGAUUAGAUACCCCUGUAGUC
Molecule: ribosomal RNA, 439 nt
Filed under: uncultured bacterium
Lineage: Bacteria
Description: partial 16S ribosomal RNA
Rfam family: Bacterial small subunit ribosomal RNA
Source: RNAcentral